UCCCGCUUCCUCCCGCGAUGUAGGUCGGGGUGCGCGGGCACCGCCGGGCUCUCCGCCACGCCUCCGGUUUUAACCCUUCCGCUCCGCGGGUCGGGGCCGCCCGGCUUCGGCCGCCAACCGAGGGGCGGUCCGGGAACCGCCGGGAUCGCGCGGAUCGGUCGCAGCGCCGCACCGAACGCCGCGCUCCGGGCAGCGCCAGGAUCGAACAAACGUUCGCAAUGAACGCAGCGUUCCGUAGCUCUUUUGUUUGAAAACCCGAAGUCUUACGUUUUGCCAUAAAAUCGCUCCCUUCCAGCCGUCUCUCAGCCCCGUUCCGGCGGUCCGGAGCUGCAGGUGCUGCUGGGGCUGCCGCGUCUCCCGAAGAAACGCCUCGAUCUUCGUUCACCUCCCCGACAGCCGAAGCAGAGAUCUGAAAUCUCCAUCGGUGACUUUUCCCGAGGCCGUUUGGGUCAAAGUUUCACGAAGCGAGCGGCUGCUUGGAACAAAACCUGGUGUGAUGUGAAGGGCUGGAGGAGCGGCUCUGGAAAGGGACCGUAUGGCAAAAGGUCCGAAAUGUUGCUUCAAAGUUUCACUGCAGAUGGAUCAGCUCUAAAUUUCAGAUAGAAGUGUGAAAAUGCCUGCCUGAACUGCUCCGGUUCUGGGCUAGAGAGGCAGAAAGCACUUUUAAACCAGAUCCCGUUUGUGAUGAUCAAACUUGAAAUCCUCCCUGAGUGCACAGCUUCUGGCUUAGACCAAAUUAAGAAAUAACCCCAGCUGUUCCACCAGAAGCCUUGUUGUAACCCUGACAUCUGCCAGCUUCCAGCAGUCCCUGCAAUUUCCUGGCCACAUCAGCCUUCAGCAGCGUGCAGAGGAGACUGGCCAGGCUGGUGGUGGGUCCGUUCUGUGCCUGGAACUGUACGGGAGGUGGUCCGUCUGUCCACUGCAAGAUAACAAACAGCAUGAAAACCCUCCAGCCACCACCUGGGAAGGGGAGGAGCAGCAGCAAGGCCAGAGGAAGGAGCUGCCCACACACAUUGAGGUCAUCACUGAUUUCAUGACAAGCUGAGCGUCAGGUUGGACUCUGUCACACACACGGAACAAGGGAAACUGUGGCCUGCACGAAUGACAGACCUCAAUUCAGAUGCUUCUGAGCCCAUUCUACACUGCAGCUGUAGGGUUUCCAGAGUGAAUAAAAGCCUCUGGUUCUCA
Molecule: long non-coding RNA, 1188 nt
Organism: Tympanuchus pallidicinctus (lesser prairie-chicken)
Lineage: Eukaryota; Metazoa; Chordata; Aves; Galliformes; Phasianidae
Exons: 2
Source: RefSeq, a predicted model, not a curated record